This 253-nucleotide ribosomal RNA is filed under the name uncultured bacterium. RNAcentral's name for it is "partial 16S ribosomal RNA". It matches the Rfam family "Bacterial small subunit ribosomal RNA", at positions 524 to 776 of the family's 1533-position model. The record is from RNAcentral.
UACGAAGGGGGCUAGCGUUGCUCGGAAUGACUGGGCGUAAAGGGCGCGUAGGCGGCUUUGUAAGUUACUUGUGAAAUCUCUGAGCUUAACUCAGAACGGUCAAGUAAUACUGCAGAGCUUGAGUGCAGAAGGGGCAACUGGAAUUCUUGGUGUAGCGGUGAAAUGCGUAGAUAUCAAGAGGAACACCUGAGGCGAAGGCGGGUUGCUGGGCUGACACUGACGCUGAGGCGCGAAAGCUAGGGGAGCAAACAGG